UUACCACUCUGGCCUUUUGGCUUAGAUCAAGUGUAGUAUCUGUUCUUAAUAGGUUAGCGGGUUCUAAGCCAAAAGAUGAUUUUGCGGCGCUUUUUACUGACUAUUUUCUUUUGUUUCGCAGUUUAACCACUAUUAUGGAGGCACCGCCUCCAUUCUUGGUUAUCAUAUUUUUGCCGCCCUUGCUCCCUUUCCUCUGCUUGCACGACAGGGACGUGAUGACCUUGCCGCUGCACUACUGGCCUGUGUCGUCGGGGGAUC
RNAcentral lists this small nuclear RNA (258 nucleotides) under Plicaturopsis crispa FD-325 SS-3. RNAcentral describes it as "U2 spliceosomal RNA". The stretch from base 1 to 225 matches the Rfam family "U2 spliceosomal RNA". Rfam says of the family: U2 is a small nuclear RNA (snRNA) component of the spliceosome (involved in pre-mRNA splicing). Complementary binding between U2 snRNA (in an area lying towards the 5' end but 3' to hairpin I) and the branchpoint sequence (BPS) of the intron results the bulging out of an unpaired adenosine, on the BPS, which initiates a nucleophilic attack at the intronic 5' splice site, thus starting the first of two transesterification reactions that mediate splicing. Lineage: Eukaryota; Fungi; Basidiomycota; Agaricomycetes; Amylocorticiales; Amylocorticiaceae. The record is from Rfam by way of RNAcentral.